Acinonyx jubatus (cheetah) is the source of this 704-nucleotide long non-coding RNA. RefSeq lists it as uncharacterized. NCBI's taxonomy places the organism in Eukaryota, Metazoa, Chordata, Mammalia, Carnivora, Felidae. The record is from RefSeq and is a predicted model, not a curated record. The transcript is spliced from 2 exons.
GAUUGAGGACGGCGACGGCGCGGUGGCGGGCGACGUGAGAAGGCCGCCGCUGCCGCCGGGCUUACGGGCAUUGGCAGCCGCGGGCGGCUGCUGCUGCUGCUGCUGCUGUUGCUGCUGGGGCUUCAGCGACAUGUAUUCAGAAGAAAGCUGAGAAACCUACCUUAACAAUCUGAUGACUUCCAAACCUCCAGAUUCUUGGUCAUCUCACUCAAGACUGCUAGAAGCGUCCUGAUGAAAACAGCACCAUGUGUAUUUUCUGCAAAGCUGGUUAUGAUGGUUAAUCUUAUGUGUCAGCUUGACUGGGCAAUGGGAUGCCCAGAUAUAGCUGGUUAAACAUUAUUUCUGGGAUGUGUCUGGGAGGGGGUUUCCAGAAAAGAUUACCACUUGAGUUGGUAGAUUAAGUAAAGCAGAUUGUCCUCUCCACUGUGUGUGGGCAUCAUCCAGUUCACUGAGGACUGAGAACAAACAUGCAGAAGAAGGGAGAAUCCUCUGGCUGACCAGUUGAGCUGGGUCCUUGGUCUUCUGCCCUCAGACUGGCACUUAACAUCAUCAGUGCUCCUUGUUCUCAGGCAUUCAGACUUGAAAUUGAAUUACACUGCCAGCUUUCCUGGGUCUCCAACUUGCAGAUGGCAGAUUGUGGGACUUUUUAGCCUUUAUAAUUACAUGAGCCAAUUCCUUAUAAUAAAUCUCUCUACAUACGGAUA